CUCCGACGCCGCCGUUUUAUGGGGUUCGCCGCCGUGCGUCUGUUGUGUGUGCGUGCAUCAACGUGUUUACGCGACGAGAUGUGUUUUAUAAUAAAUUGAUGGUUUGGAGAGAAAAAAAACAAAAACAAUAACAAAACGGAACGAGGGAAAAAAAUGUUCAACGACCGGAUGCGAAAACGGUUUCGCGUUGCCACCGCCGGCCACAACGUGAUGGACUGCAGACGGUAGACCGCGGUAAGCCAGUACGGCGCGCGUGCAUACUGCUAUCCGCAUCCCACUGCAACACGCAAUCGCAACAGUAUAAUACUAGCUGCACUGAUCGUAAAGUACACAAACGGCAACAAUAAUUUGGAGAGAGCAACAUAAUUUUUUCGUACAUAAUUAUGUGGUAUUAACGGCGAGAAAUAUAGUUAUUAUUAUUAUACAGGAAUACAGUGCGACAAUGAGCUUAAGAGACUUUGAUGAGUUCGAUGGGAACAGUUGUAUUUAAAUCGAAUUUCUCUACAUACAUAAUGAUUGCAUUGGAUGAACAACACUGAGUCGAGAUGAGAUGUAUAUAUUGUCAUACUUCGUUAUAUCGACAUAAUACCUCUUUGCAAAUUCCAAGAAAACGUAACACAAUCAACAACUCGAGGAUAUGCGUAACUUAUAUAACGUGUAAUGAGAAUAAGCUUAAAGGGGCACUUACCAGUUACCCUUCUCGUUAAGAUGUUCCUUCGAAAGCUCUUAUUGAAUUCGACAGUAAAACGGUUCCUUUCAGAAGGUCAGCAAGUAACAAAGACACCCUCCUAGUCCAAUGAACAGCAAGCACGGGAAAGAGGAAACAGUUAUCGCGACAGCGACACCAUCAUAAUACGAAUGCGAAAUUUGACGAUUUUGUUAAUAACCAGCUAUUAUAAUAUAUUAUUGUUAGUAAGGGCAGUAAGGCGAUAGAUAUCGAUUUAGUUGUUUCGUUGGCUCCGAGACUCAGUGUUUAGUAACAAAAUAAAUUCAUAAUACAUAGUAUAGAAAUACGAAUAAUACAAUUAACAGAAACACAUUCAACGUUACCAUUAACACAGAUUGAAUUGAAUAUAAUUAUAAUAAGUGUCAUGAUUUAUGAAUAAUAUAUUGCAACAGUGGGUAUUUAAGCCAAAUAACGCUAUAUUAGUGCACUCUAUUUUGGAAUGAAUUAGUUUUUUUUUCAAAUAAAUAAAGCAACAGAGAGCGCUCACGCACACACUUACGGAAAAUGUAUAAACAAUACACGUGACAGCGAUGAAUCCUUCAGAGGAAGACAAUAAUAUUACAAGGUUGGGUUAGGUUAUAUAGGUGUCACCUGUAGAAAGUAACAGGAGUAUAAUAGUUAUACAAAAUCAAAUGGAUGGAAGUAGACGAAGACGAACGAGACGAGGUGGAAGAAGAUGAAAAGACGCGCCAUAAUAAUAAUAACCGAUAAUAUAUUGGGGAGUUCGGCAUGUUUACGACCCGAUGGUAUUAUUAUGAACGUGUGGCGGCGGCUGUGAUUAUAUGAUUAUUGUAAAACGACGACCAAGGCGCCUGUGGUUUGGCAUGGAUCACCAUCAUCAUGUGGGCCCCACUACUAACCCAUGCAAUCCUGCUUAUGCAAGUCAGUAAUGAAAAAAUAAGAUGAAAACGGUAAAGUAUGAAAGGUGUGGAGAAGACCGUGGCCGUGACGGACGUUGACAAUUCCCUGAAUGGCAUAUACGGAUACAGCAAACGCAUAUAUGUAUUUAGAAAUGGCGGGUUAAAAUAAUAAUGAAGAACUCAAAAUAAGACAUUCUCAGCCUAUUGAAUACAAACAACAUCGUUCAAUUAAUAUGGCCACUAUAAUAUGUACCGAAUAUUUUAUUUAUUCAUUUGCGAUAAGAAUAUAUAAAGAAUAAAAGUCAAUACGAAGUUUAACACAACAUAAU
Molecule: long non-coding RNA, 1916 nt
Filed under: Rhopalosiphum maidis (corn leaf aphid)
Lineage: Eukaryota; Metazoa; Arthropoda; Insecta; Hemiptera; Aphididae
Description: uncharacterized LOC113556076
Source: RNAcentral